CACCUAGAAUUUGUAUAUUUGUAAGGACGCUGCCUUUCCUCAGGGGUCUUGUGCCCUUUCUUUACCCGUUCUUGCCUGUCUUCCAGGACAUUGAUGUGAUAAGCACUGUGCAGAUUUUGAAGAAAAACAGCCACUGUGCCCUCAAACACCUGACAAGCUAAUUGCAAAGCUGAGAGACACCUGCUAAAUCCCUGAAAAUGCCAAGCAAACCAGUGAAGAGUAAACCAGCUGCUUUUAAAAAGGUAUCAAGAUUCAACUUGCUGCUGUAAGUCUGUUGUCCCUGAGUUCUGAGAAAACACACCUGCUUCAACUGGAAUAUUUUUCAUGAAAAGUCAAUAAAAACCAUGCAGUAGAAGCACCAAGAACAGAACCAAUUAAUACAUAACUCACAUCAUGAGAGAAUCAGUCAGACUCCAAUGUGGUGUUCAAUGCAACGAUGCCCUCAUAUCGACGCUGAAUGUAUGCAGCUCUCAAAAUCCUUAAAAAACAGAAGUGCACUGUUCCAUUCUGGAGGAACAUUUUCUGUGACUGGGAAGUCUUGGCAUGUGGAACGAUUUUUGAGCAAAUACACGAUCCUCCAUCCUUGUGCUUUUGUUCUGCUCAGACACUGUGGGAAAGAACAAGGGAACGCUAUCAAGCUUUACUUUCUGAAGGUCUCAUCUGCAUGGUGAGGAGUGACCUGUUACCAAACCCAUUAAGAUUUACUCAUAUGGAGAACUGA
Molecule: long non-coding RNA, 721 nt
Filed under: Calidris pugnax (ruff)
Lineage: Eukaryota; Metazoa; Chordata; Aves; Charadriiformes; Scolopacidae
Description: lncRNA (ENSCPUG00000012353.1)
Source: RNAcentral